Molecule: long non-coding RNA, 2335 nt
Organism: Vicia villosa (hairy vetch)
Lineage: Eukaryota; Viridiplantae; Streptophyta; Magnoliopsida; Fabales; Fabaceae
Exons: 5
Source: RefSeq, a predicted model, not a curated record
UUUUUCUCGAUUUCCUUCUCUUUCUCAUUCUCACCUUCAUUCAUUUUCUUCUUCUUAUUCUCUUUCUUUCUCAUUUAUUUCACUCAUCCUUCUUCUAUCCAUAUUUUAAUUUGUUGUCUUCAAAUAAAUUUGGGAAUACAUUUCAGAUUAGGGUUUUUAUAAAUUUAUUUAUUUUCUUCUUCAACUUUCAUUUUUAACCAAUAUCUUAUUUGACCAUUUUUAACUUUUUUUUUUGCUUAUUCUAUUGCAGGUUAUAAAUUUGUCUUUCCCCUUGAUAUGAUGCUUUCAUUAGUUACAGUAUUAAAGUACCAGUCCAGAGACAUGGAAAGGCAUAGAUGGGAAAGCUGGGAAAGUUGACGCAUUUGUGUCUGUGGUAGGUUGCGUUGAAGGAAGGUGUUGGAACAUUGGGGGGGACUGACAUUUACCGACAAUUCAAGCUGGAUAAGGAGCAGUAAAUUCAUGCUUGACAUGAAGAUUGCAUCAGGUUUAUAAACUGUGGUUUUUCUAUCAUUUUCUUUCUUGCAACAUUGAAUUUUUUUUACUGCAUUUUCCAUCUUAACGUUUUGGUUUUUCUGGAUUUUUACUGUCAUUCUUGACGAUUUCGGAGAUAAGAAAGAUAUCGAGGAAAGAUGUGAGUAGGGUUUUUUAAAUUUCUUAUUCAAUUUGAUUUUAACUUUGUCAUAUCGAUCUAGGUCUGGUUUUUCAAUAAUGUUGCAUUAUGGUGGCCUUAAAUCCCUUUAACGAAGUUUCUCCAUGUUCCAACCAUCAGGCCUAACGUUUAUGCAAUUACAGGCCCAACCAUCAGAUAGUUGACACAGGGUAUCAUUUUUUUCCUAAUAGUUACAUAUAUAGAUCAAAGAGAUAAUACUGAAUUUUUGAUGAUAAGUUUUGUUCCUUACAUUGUUAUGUGAUUAGAUUCACUUUGGAUACUAAUUGGAGUAGAAUUUUUGACGCAGUUGACAUUGCUAAGGAGCAUAAAUAUUGACGCAGAAUUCUCCUAUCAUUGUUUUUUAACCAAUUUCUUGAACUUUUGUUGAUAGCAAAAUGAAAAAUAUGAUUUGAAUGGUCUGAAUAUGACUGUGAUGUUUUUAAAGGUUGGCGUUGGUCUUCCUGUGAUAGCAUCCUUGAAUCGCAUUAUCUCGAGAGGGUGAUAUGUGAUUUUUUUUAAUAAUUUAUAUAGUUGUUUUUUUCAUGAACUCAAAUUUUGAAGCAACACUAUAGUUUGUAGAAUAGUAUGUUUUUACUCCCAAGAGGGUGAUAUGUGAUUUUGAGGUACAUAGUACAGAAAUUGCAGGAGUCUUGCUGAAUGACUUACAUGUUUUCGAAAAGUGUUGAUUGUCAAGAAGGUAUGCAUGUUUCUAUUAUGCAAGUUUCUAAUGUACACUCCUAGAUUUGUUUUCCUAAUUAACAUUUUCUGAUUUGUGUUGAAUGUUUACUCCUUUUAUCUUAGAUCCUGCUGGCAAGAGACACUACAUGUUAUGUGCCUUGACAGUAAUUGUCCUUAUAGCUCUUUGGUCCAUCUUCACAGGUUCAGUCACCCUCAAAUGGUCCACAAACAAUCUUAAUCAAUUAUCAAGUGGAUUGGAUUCUAUGAUUCUUGAAGAUCUAGAUGUGUUGAUAUGAUGGGAAUUUAAUCAGGUGCAGCUGCUAUAAAAUUUGGGAAAACACCAGAAAAUGCAGGAAAGCUCAUCGUUGUAAGUUUACAAUCCUUAAUAAGUUUUAUCGUUGCAGAAUUAUAAGAUGAAGUCUACGACUUGUACCAAUAUUAUUAUUUCCUGGGAGAUCUCUGUUGGUUGAAAAUAUUGAGUUGUUCCUUUUAAUUCUUCUACCAUUUAAUUAUGACUUUCUUCUUUGUUUUCUCACAUGAAGGUCCUCGGGUUUCAUUCUUAUGCAUGUUAAUUAAUGGUUGAUACACUAAUUGGCCUGCAAACAGUUGUUUUAUGAGUUCUAAUAAUUAGAGAAAGAAUUGGAUAAUGUGACAUAUAAGGGAAUGUUUACUUACAUGUCCAAAAUUGUCAAUCAAUGGCAACGGAUAAUAGGCCAACAACAGACAUUCGAGAUGGAUCUAACAUGCUAUCUAUGUGUAAUGAAUUGCAUUAACUUUGAUUUUUAUCGGAGGGUUUACCAUAGAGUGGAGAUUGCUGACAAGCAUGUAUUAGUGGCUACCCUACUUGCAAGAGUAUUGGAGGGUAGACAAUGAAGAUUCUGUAGAAUUAGAUUAGUUUGCUCUACAUGCUUCUGUUAUUUAUCAACUUUUCUCAUUUGUCUUUAACUGCAGUGUGUUUUGGAAUGAUUUAAUUAGUGUUUUUUUUAAGUAACAUGAAAGAGUAAUAUU